CAUUUUAGGAACGCAUUCAAAAUCUGGAAUCUGUAUAACGAAAUCAGUUUUCAGAUUGAGUUAUAACUUUGUCUGCAUUUACCGAAGAAUAAUUUUCCGAAUUUGAAAUAAUUUCACACAAAAGUCUUUCAAAAGUGGAAGGGCAACCUCACGGUGGGCUCCCUUAUUACCAGCAUUUGAGACGAAGUAUCGACGAAAUGCUCGUGCUCGAACGGCAUUAUGUGAGUCGUGAGCAAUAUUCUUGACAUUAUGUACAACCGUUUUUGUUUUGGGAAAGGUCGUUUUACGUAUCGCAGUUUCCUUUUAACGACUGCGAUAAAACUGGACACUAUAGCGGAGAUCCACGAAGAAAAUCUAACGUGUCCAGUGCGCUGGUUGUGCAAUGUAAGUACAUAGUUGUGAAGUUGUAAGUCACAAAGUUAUUUUGUUCGUUGCCGUCAGUACGAGUAUUCAGCUUUAUUACCUUGCUAACAAUUAUGAUCGAACGCUAUUUUCCAGGAGCACUGCACUGGCAGCAGCAGAAAAGUGUAGAAAUUUACCUGUGUAGAGAAGCAGCGAAUGUGGCUAAGAUAGAACAGAUAGAACAUGCUGCCAAACUGGAAAACCAGUCGGUGUUGCAUAACUUGCAUAUAUACGUUUCAACUCAUGAUAACAUCGGUGCUUCCUGCGCUUGCCACAAUGAUCUUAGGUCGCGGUUCUUGAUACCUCUGUGAAUAGCUGUUAUGGAUUUGGCUUUUACCGAAUUCCCCGAAAAAUGCCAAUGCGCUGCGACCGAUAUAAUUGCAAAAUUUGGUGGUGAGGAACAGCGAAAUAUAUUAGCGCUUUAAGGUCUUCAAGGACCACUGGAAUUCUCUCUCGGGUCUAUUCGAGAAGGUAGAACGGAGUGCUAGUAGUAGUGGCGUACCGAAAACACGGCAGUUCCCAAAGGCCCCCUGGACAGUUGGUUUUAUCUACACGGAGCAACAUCGUCCGGAAAAAUUGAUAAUUGACUGAUCAUUUUAUUCUAAGUUGGGAAACGAAGUGGGAGCAGAAAACAGAAGCGUCCAACCGCUUAAGGAAUUUGGCCCGGCACACAGCACAAAAUUCGUAUACAUCCACGGCAACUUUCACUGUCGCGCACUCUCAAACACUUUUCUGCAUUGCUUUAUGAUAUUUUGUAGCCAACGAAUUCGUAAACAAAGGCGAAAAACCCGUUUCUACCUGCAACAUCCGGUUCGGGAGUUAUUAGUGAAAUAAAAUUCCAAAAGUUUAA
Paramacrobiotus metropolitanus is the source of this 1252-nucleotide long non-coding RNA. RefSeq lists it as uncharacterized. Lineage: Eukaryota; Metazoa; Tardigrada; Eutardigrada; Parachela; Macrobiotidae. The record is from RefSeq and is a predicted model, not a curated record. The transcript is spliced from 3 exons.